Molecule: ribosomal RNA, 549 nt
Filed under: uncultured Glomeromycotina
Lineage: Eukaryota; Fungi; Glomeromycota
Description: SSU rRNA
Rfam family: Eukaryotic small subunit ribosomal RNA
Source: RNAcentral
UUGGAGGGCAAGUCUGGUGCCAGCAGCCGCGGUAAUUCCAGCUCCAAUAGCGUAUAUUAAAGUUGUUGCAGUUAAAAAGCUCGUAGUUGAAUUUCGGGAUUAGUACGCUGGUCGUGCCUUCGGUACGUACUGGUGUUACUGAUUUCUACCUUCUGACGAACCAUCAUGUCAUUCAUUUGGUGUGGUGGGGAAAUCAGGACUGUUACUUUGAAAAAAUUAGAGUGUUUAAAGCAGGCUCGCGCUUGAAUACAUUAGCAUGGAAUAAUGAAAUAGGACGUUGAUCCUAUUUUGUUGGUUUCUAGGAUUGACGUAAUGAUUAAUAGGGAUAGUUGGGGGCAUUAGUAUUCAAUUGUCAGAGGUGAAAUUCUUGGAUUUAUUGAAGACUAACUACUGCGAAAGCAUUUGCCAAGGAUGUUUUCAUUAAUCAAGAACGAAAGUUAGGGGAUCGAAGACGAUCAGAUACCGUCGUAGUCUUAACCAUAAACUAUGCCGACUAGGGAUCGGAUGAUGUUAAUUUUUUAAUGACUCAUUCGGCGCCUUACGGGAAAC